GGGAGCUUGCUCCCUGAUGUUAGCGGCGGACGGGUGAGUAACACGUGGGUAACCUGCCUGUAAGACUGGGAUAACUCCGGGAAACCGGGGCUAAUACCGGAUGGUUGUUUGAACCGCAUGGUUCAAACAUAAAAGGUGGCUUCGGCUACCACUUACAGAUGGACCCGCGGCGCAUUAGCUAGUUGGUGAGGUAACGGCUCACCAAGGCAACGAUGCGUAGCCGACCUGAGAGGGUGAUCGGCCACACUGGGACUGAGACACGGCCCAGACUCCUACGGGAGGCAGCAGUAGGGAAUCUUCCGCAAUGGACGAAAGUCUGACGGAGCAACGCCGCGUGAGUGAUGAAGGUUUUCGGAUCGUAAAGCUCUGUUGUUAGGGAAGAACAAGUACCGUUCGAAUAGGGCGGUACCUUGACGGUACCUAACCAGAAAGCCACGGCUAACUACGUGCCAGCAGCCGCGGUAAUACGUAGGUGGCAAGCGUUGUCCGGAAUUAUUGGGCGUAAAGGGCUCGCAGGCGGUUUCUUAAGUCUGAUGUGAAAGCCCCCGGCUCAACCGGGGAGGGUCAUUGGAAACUGGGGAACUUGAGUGCAGAAGAGGAGAGUGGAAUUCCACGUGUAGCGGUGAAAUGCGUAGAGAUGUGGAGGAACACCAGUGGCGAAGGCGACUCUCUGGUCUGUAACUGACGCUGAGGAGCGAAAGCGUGGGGAGCGAACAGGAUUAGAUACCCUGGUAGUCCACGCCGUAAACGAUGAGUGCUAAGUGUUAGGGGGUUUCCGCCCCUUAGUGCUGCAGCUAACGCAUUAAGCACUCCGCCUGGGGGAGUACGGUCGCAAGACUGAAACUCAAAGGAAUUGACGGGGGCCCGCACAAGCGGGUGGGAGCAUGGUGGUUUAAUUCGAAGCAACGCGAAGAACCUUACCAGUCUUGACAUCCUUCUGACAAUCCUAGAGAUAGGACGUCCUCUUUCGGGGGCAAGAGUGACAGGUGGUGCAUGGUGUCGUCAGCC
RNAcentral lists this ribosomal RNA (1008 nucleotides) under Bacillus sp. E34. RNAcentral's name for it is "bacterial SSU rRNA". It matches the Rfam family "Bacterial small subunit ribosomal RNA", at positions 74 to 1060 of the family's 1533-position model. Lineage: Bacteria; Bacillati; Bacillota; Bacilli; Caryophanales; Bacillaceae. The record is from RNAcentral.